Molecule: long non-coding RNA, 3010 nt
Organism: Herpailurus yagouaroundi (jaguarundi)
Lineage: Eukaryota; Metazoa; Chordata; Mammalia; Carnivora; Felidae
Exons: 2
Source: RefSeq, a predicted model, not a curated record
CCGGCAGCUGAUUGAGGGAGAGAGGGAAAGAAAUGAAGAGUGUAUUCCCUUCCCAGGAGCCCGGGGGAAUUUAGGAAAUCCUGGGGUUGCCUCCUCAUUCUCCUCCCCCCGGCCCCCCCCCCCCCCACCGGUUUAUAGUGCCCCACCCCCAUCACCUAACUUUUUUUAACCCUCUUUCCUGUCUCGAGGAGACCUAGAUCCCCAUCCUGGGAGGGACUGGCAACAAUUAACAAAGGCACCAUGGAGUAAAGACAAUUAACAAUCCAGAAAAGAGGGGAAAGAGAGGCUUUGUUCUGGUCACCAUGGCAACGGAGGGGGGGGAGGGAGGAAGGAGGAGGAGGAGGAGGAGGAGAGGCCAUCCAGAGAGGCUGAUACUUUCACUUUCCUUUCAUCCCUCCCCUGUCCCGCCCCCUUGGGUUUCUGCCAGGGAGACAGGGGAUCUUGAAGAACACAGGACUGGGACAGGCCCAGUCUGCAGGCUGGAGAUUCAAGGAUAAGAGGAGGAUUUUUCAGGCUUCUCUCUACUGCACACGGUUCUGAACUCUACCUCGGAGCAAGAGAGAAACCAAGUAUAGAAAACUCAUCCCCAAGUGCUCUGGGGUCCAGCUCUCCCAGGCUUCCCUGUUUGGAAAAGGCAGAAGACAAUGAAAUAUAAGCUCCAAAACCCCACUAGAGAUCAUGCUGUUGGCUUAGGGGGAAUUGGAAAUCACCCUCCAUCUCGCGAGUGCUUCUAGCCAGAGCAGAAGCUUCUUGGCAGGAGAAGCCAGGCGCACCAGCCCCGCCUCAUGGAUGGGCCUCUCCAUUAGCCAUAGGAGACUGCCUGCCAGGAUAUUUCUUGCUCCCAGCAACCCUAACAUCACGAGAGAAAAUAGGCUAUGGACUCCAGAACCUUAUCUUUCUAGGACUCAGCCUUAUCGCCCUGUGGGUCCAAGUGAAAUGAAGAAUAUUAGUCAGCAACUAAAAUCAAGGAGAAAAAAAAAAUCCGUUCUGUCAGAGGCCCUAAACCAAGCAAGAGGUCAAAGGUCCUGCUCUCUGCCUGGAGGGUAUCCUGUCAGGCACUCCUUGCAUGGAUGCUAUUAUGGGCUGAACUGGGUCUCCAAAUUCAUCUUUCCAAGCCCCCAGUACCUCAGAAGGUGACUCUACUUGGAGACAGGGUCUUUGCAGAGGUAACUGAGUUAAAAUGAGGUCAUUAGGGUGGGUUGUAAAUCCACAGGACUGGUGUCCUUAUAAGAAGACAUCUCUACACAGACACGCAGGGAGAAGAUGGCCGUCUACAAGCCACGGAGAGAGGCCUGAGACAGAUCCUUCCCUCGUGGCCCUCCGAAGAAACCACCCCUCACAGACUGCUAGCCUUCAGAACUGUGAGCAGAUACAUGUCUGCUGCGCGAGCCCCCCAGUCCAUGGUGCUUUGUAAGGGUAGCAAAUUAACAUGGAUGCUUAAAGGUUGGGAGGUCUGCACAACCUUGAGGCUGCCUGGACUCAGAGUGUGUCUGUGAAAGGGGGGUAGGCUUUUGUACUAGCAUGGUUGCAUUAUUUUAAUUUGAAACAAAAUUGAUCUAUUACUCUCUUCCCCCAUAGCCUAGUCUUUUAAAUUUUUUAUUCCUUUUGGUAUUGCUUUAACACAUUUUAUUGUUUUAAUCCCUUUAGUCUUUUAUUUUUCUGGUUUUAAUGAUUUUACUUAUCUCUGUCAUUUUUAAUCUCUUCUUCGUCUUUGUUCUAGCCAUUUCAUACUAGUUGCUUUUAUCUCAUCUUAUCUUCUAGAUUUAUUGUUAUUGUAUUAUCUUUUUAUUCUCCAUCUUUUAUUUCUAACCUUUGCCUUAUCGUGUCUUUGUUCUAUCUUUUCAUUUCUUUUUAGUUUGUUUGGUUUAUUUUUAGUUCAUAUUAUCACUUUGCCCGCUGCCUUUUUUUUUUUUUUUUUUUUUUUUUUUUACCGUUUUUACCAUCUUUUUAUUUCUUCUUAGUUUACUUUAUCUUUUUAUUGACUGGUGUAUUAUCUUCCAUAUUUUACUGUUUUCAAUUCUCUCAGCUUAUUAAAUGCGGAGGCUGGAAACACAGCCCUCAGGGGACAGCUGCCAGGCUAACCCGGACCCCAAGCUGAGGAGGCUGGAUGUUUUGGCUCCUCGAGCCCGCCCAGCAACUCCCAACAGAUGCCCCAUUUGCUCCAAAGUGGGCCCCUCCUAUCUCUAAGAAUCAAUCUGUGUAACAUGGGAGACCUUGGGAUAAAAUUCUCUCGGGAAGAUACCAGGUUUGCUUACAAUAAUAACACAUUUGAGUUAUGGAGGAGCCCAGCUUUCUCCUAUCACACGCCAUCAAACUGCUCUCUGUGGACUCAGUCACCUAAAGUUCACCAUCAGUAGACAUCAGAGCAAGCGUCUAAAGAAACCACACCACUUGUCAGGGUGGAUCUGGUGGGUAGGAAAUUUCACUUUGUGAAAAUCUCUCAACAGACCUCCUCAGGUUGCAUUUUAACAAGAAACCAAGUGGUCUCGAUUCAUGCAACAAAAGUCCUGGGGGAAAGGCACAAUGAAGGGUCUCUGAAUUCUUCCGUCUAGCUGUCUUUCAUUCAUUCAUUUAUUUAAUGUCUGUAUUGAGAAGCUACUCUGUGCCAGGAAUUAGGCUAAGAAAUGAGGAUCAAGUGAAGAGCAAAGAGAGCUAGGGCCCUUGCUCUCUUACAGUUUAUAGUCUGGUAAAAAGAUAUGAUAUUUACCUGGCUCUGACCGAUCUGACCUGCCUUCCUUGCAGACAAGAUUAUAGGAGGUCGUUAUGGCCAAGACUGCCAGUUGUUCCCCCAGUGUGUUUUUCCCUUCUAGAAUAAUACAAGUUUAGGCUUGUAUCAAAAGACUGCAUUUCCCAGGCUCCCUUGCCGUGAAAUACAGCCCCUGGGUUCUGCCCAAUAGAACCUAGGCAGAAGUGAAACCUACAACAUGCUGGUUCUGCCUCAUAGGACCUACGCAGAAUGGUAUAUGCAACUUCCUGGUCAUAUCCUUAACAAUAAAGUGUAUUUCCAUUC